AGUGAACGCUGGCGGUAGACCUAACACAUGCAAGUCGAACGGCAGCACAGUAAGAGCUUGCUCUUACGGGUGGCGAGUGGCGGACGGGUGAGGAAUACAUCGGAAUCUACUUUUUCGUGGGGGAUAACGUAGGGAAACUUACGCUAAUACCGCAUACGACCUACGGGUGAAAGCAGGGGAUCUUCGGACCUUGCGCGAUUGAAUGAGCCGAUGUCGGAUUAGCUAGUUGGCGGGGUAAAGGCCCACCAAGGCGACGAUCCGUAGCUGGUCUGAGAGGAUGAUCAGCCACACUGGAACUGAGACACGGUCCAGACUCCUACGGGAGGCAGCAGUGGGGAAUAUUGGACAAUGGGCGCAAGCCUGAUCCAGCCAUACCGCGUGGGUGAAGAAGGCCUUCGGGUUGUAAAGCCCUUUUGUUGGAAAAGAAAAGCAGCAGGUUAAUACCCCGCUGUUCUGACGGUACCCAAAGAAUAAGCACCGGCUAACUUCGUG
RNAcentral lists this ribosomal RNA (492 nucleotides) under uncultured bacterium. RNAcentral's name for it is "partial 16S ribosomal RNA". It matches the Rfam family "Bacterial small subunit ribosomal RNA", at positions 29 to 507 of the family's 1533-position model. The record is from RNAcentral.